CCUACGGGUGGCUGCAGUAGGGAAUAUUGCUCAAUGGGGGAAACCCUGAAGCAGCAACGCCGCGUGGAGGAUGAAGGUUUUCGGAUUGUAAAAGCCUUUUGUUAGAGAAGAAAAUGACGGUAUCUAACGAAUAAGCAACGGCUAACUCCGGGCCAGCAGCCGCGGUAAUACGGAGGGUGCACGCCUUCCUCGGAAUAACUUGGCGUAAAGAGGGCGUAGGCGGGAUAGCAAGUCAUAUGUGCAAUCCUAUGGCUUAACCAUAGAACUGCAUUUGAAACGGUUAUUCUAGAGUAUGGGAGUGGUAGGUGGAAUUCUUGGUGUUGCGGUUCAAUCCGUAGAGCUCCAG
RNAcentral lists this ribosomal RNA (346 nucleotides) under uncultured bacterium. Its description in RNAcentral is "partial 16S ribosomal RNA". It matches the Rfam family "Bacterial small subunit ribosomal RNA", at positions 338 to 701 of the family's 1533-position model. The record is from RNAcentral.